GGUGUAUUCUUCGCUUGUUAUAUUCUCACUCUGUUUGUGCCUUGCAUUGGCAUAUAACUUGAACUAUCCCAAAGGAUCAACUAGUCAAGUUACUUGUGAUAAUGGCGAAACUCAGGCAUAUCAACGGAUUGGAGAGAAAUACUACUUCUUAGG
This is a long non-coding RNA of Drosophila innubila, 153 nucleotides long. RefSeq lists it as uncharacterized. NCBI's taxonomy places the organism in Eukaryota, Metazoa, Arthropoda, Insecta, Diptera, Drosophilidae. The record is from RefSeq and is a predicted model, not a curated record. The transcript is spliced from 2 exons.